RNAcentral lists this ribosomal RNA (262 nucleotides) under uncultured archaeon. RNAcentral's name for it is "partial 16S ribosomal RNA". It matches the Rfam family "Archaeal small subunit ribosomal RNA", at positions 717 to 982 of the family's 1478-position model. The record is from RNAcentral.
CGACUACAUUAGAUACCCCUGUAGUCCUAGCCGUAAACGAUACUCGCUAGGUGUCGGCCACGGUGCGACCGUUGUCGGUGCCGUAGGGAAGCCGUGAAGCGAGCCACCUGGGAAGUACGGCCGCAAGGCUGAAACUUAAAGGAAUUGGCGGGGGAGCACAACAACGGGUGGAGCUUGCGGUUUAAUUGGAUUCAACGCCGGAAAUCUUACCGGGACCGACAGCAACAUGAAGGCCAAGCUGAAGACUUUGCCGGAUUAGCUG